Molecule: ribosomal RNA, 254 nt
Filed under: uncultured bacterium
Lineage: Bacteria
Description: partial 16S ribosomal RNA
Rfam family: Bacterial small subunit ribosomal RNA
Source: RNAcentral
UACGAAGGGGGCAAGCGUUGUUCGGAAUUAUUGGGCGUAAAGGGAGCGUAGGCGGUUCGGCAAGUCUUUAGUGAAAUCUCUGGGCUCAACCCUGGGAUGCCGGUCGAUACUGCCGGACUAGAGUUCGGAAGAGGCGAGUGGAAAUUCCCGGUGUAGCGGUGAAAUGCGCAGAUAUCGGGAGGAACACCUAUGGCGAAGGCAGCUCGCUGGGACGUUACUGACGCUGAGACGCGAAAGCGUGGGGAGCAAACAGG